GCACAGAGUUAGCCGGUGCUUGCUAAAGGGGUACCGUCAUCGAGCUGGAUGUUAGCCAACCCUUAUUCGUCCCCCUCCACAGAGCUUUACAACCCGAAGGCCUUCAUCACUCACGCGGCGUCGCUGCGUCAGGCUUUCGCCCAUUGCGCAAGAUUCCCCACUGCUGCCUCCCGUAGGAGUCUGGACCGUGUCUCAGUUCCAGUGUGGCUGAUCAUCCUCUCAGACCAGCUACCCGUCUUCGCCUUGGUAGGCCAUUACCCUACCAACUAGCUGAUGGGCCGCAGGCUCAUCCCCUGGCGCCAGCUUUCUUGAAGAGGCCGGCUUUGACCUCACCUCCUUUCGAAGGCGUGGUCUCAUGCUGUAUUAGCGCUCCUUUCGGAACGUUAUCCACCACCUGGGGGCAGAUUACCUACGUGUUACUCACCCGUGCGCCGCUUUACCGGGGCCGAAGCCCUUUCUCGCUCGACUUGCAUGUGUUAAGCGCGCCGCUAACGUUCGUU
Molecule: ribosomal RNA, 500 nt
Filed under: uncultured bacterium
Lineage: Bacteria
Description: partial 16S rRNA
Source: RNAcentral